GAUGAACGCUAGCGGCAGGCUUAACACAUGCAAGUCGAGGGGUAUAGUUCUUCGGAAUUAGAGACCGGCGCACGGGUGCGUAACGCGUAUGCAAUCUACCUUUCACAGAGGGAUAGCCCAGAGAAAUUUGGGUUAAUACCUCAUAGUAUAUAGAGUUGGCAUCAACAUUAUAUUAAAGUCACAACGGUGAAAGAUGAGCAUGCGUCCCAUUAGCUAGAUGGUAAGGUAACGGCUUACCAUGGCGACGAUGGGUAGGGGUCCUGAGAGGGAGAUCCCCCACACUGGUACUGAGACACGGACCAGACUCCUACGGGAGGCAGCAGUGAGGAAUAUUGGACAAUGGGCGCAAGCCUGAUCCAGCCAUGCCGCGUGCAGGAUGACGGUCCUAUGGAUUGUAAACUGCUUUUAUACGA
Molecule: ribosomal RNA, 413 nt
Filed under: uncultured bacterium
Lineage: Bacteria
Description: bacterial SSU rRNA
Rfam family: Bacterial small subunit ribosomal RNA
Source: RNAcentral